This is a small nucleolar RNA of Lathyrus oleraceus (garden pea), 108 nucleotides long. The record is from RefSeq and is a predicted model, not a curated record. NCBI's taxonomy places the organism in Eukaryota, Viridiplantae, Streptophyta, Magnoliopsida, Fabales, Fabaceae.
AUUCCAUGAUGGGGACACUGCAUCAAUAGAUCUUUAAACCUUUCAGAAAGCAUCAAAUAAAGAUUCAUCUUCCCCUUGCCUAAAAGAAGUAAUUUCAUUCCUCAUUUU